This 440-nucleotide ribosomal RNA is filed under the name uncultured bacterium. RNAcentral's name for it is "bacterial SSU rRNA". It matches the Rfam family "Bacterial small subunit ribosomal RNA", at positions 338 to 771 of the family's 1533-position model. The record is from RNAcentral.
CCUACGGGAGGCAGCAGCUAGGAAUCUUGUCCAAUGGGCGCAAGCCUGAGACAGCAACACCGUGUGAGCGAGGAAGGCCUUCGGGUUGUAAAGCUCUGUUGUUGGGGACGAAGGUCGAAGGGUUAAUAGCCCCUAGACUGACGGUACCCUUCGAGGAAGCCCCGGCUAACUACGUGCCAGCAGCCGCGGUAAUACGUAGGGGGCGAGCGUUGUCCGGAAUUAUUGGGCGUAAAGAGCGUGUAGGCGGUUUGGUAAGUCUGCCGUGAAAGGCCGGGGCUCAACCCCGGACGUGCGGUGGAUACUGCCAGGCUAGAGGGUGGUAGAGGAGAAUGGAAUUCCCGGUGUAGCGGUGAAAUGCGCAGAUAUCGGGAGGAACACCAGUAGCGAAGGCGGUUCUCUGGGCCAUUCCUGACGCUGAGACGCGAAAGCUAGGGGAGCAA